Molecule: ribosomal RNA, 433 nt
Filed under: uncultured bacterium
Lineage: Bacteria
Description: partial 16S ribosomal RNA
Rfam family: Bacterial small subunit ribosomal RNA
Source: RNAcentral
AACGAACGCUGGCGGCAUGCCUAACAAAUGCAAGUCGAACGAGGCCUACGGGUCUAGUGGCGAAUGGGUGCGUAAAGCAAGGGAACCUGCCCAGAGGAGCGGACUAGCUCCACGAAAGGGGUGCUACUACCGGAUCAUGUCUUCGGACCAAAGAAUUAUCGCCCUUGGAUGGUCCCGCAUUGGAUUAGCUAGUUGGUAGGGUAAAAGCUUACCAAGGCGACGAUCCAUAGCUGGUCUGAGAGGAUGAUCAGCCACACUGGGACUGAGACACGGCCCAGACUCCUACGAGAGGCAGCAGUUGGGAAUAGUGGACAAUGGGCGAAAGCCUGAUCCAGCAAUGCCGCGUGAGUGAUGAAGGCCUUAGGGUUGUAAAGCUCUUUUACCCGGGAUGAUAAUGACAGUACCGGGAUAAUAAGCCCCGGCUAACUCCGUG